Molecule: ribosomal RNA, 252 nt
Filed under: uncultured bacterium
Lineage: Bacteria
Description: partial 16S ribosomal RNA
Rfam family: Bacterial small subunit ribosomal RNA
Source: RNAcentral
UACAGAGGUCUCAAGCGUUGUUCGGAUUCAUUGGGCGUAAAGGGUGCGUAGGCGGCGCGGUAAGUCGGGUGUGAAAUCUCGGAGCUUAACUCCGAAACUGCAUUCGAUACUGCCGUGCUUGAGGACUGGAGAGGAGACUGGAAUUUACGGUGUAGCGGUGAAAUGCGUAGAUAAUCGGGAGGAACACCAGUGGCGAAGGCGGUUGCCUGGAGCUUGCUGACGCUGAGGCGCGAAAGCGUGGGGAGCGAUCGG